Long non-coding RNA from Cannabis sativa, 383 nucleotides. RefSeq lists it as uncharacterized. Lineage: Eukaryota; Viridiplantae; Streptophyta; Magnoliopsida; Rosales; Cannabaceae. The record is from RefSeq and is a predicted model, not a curated record. The transcript is spliced from 2 exons.
UCUCGUUUCUGUUGACAAUGAUGGUAGUUGUUUGAGGUUCUAAUGGUUCGGGGUUCAUGGCUUGUGAUUGAAGAAGCUAUGGUUGACAAUGAUGGUAGUUGUUUGAGGUUCUAAUGGUUUAGGGUUCAUGGCUUGUGAUUGAAGAAGCUAUGGUUUUGGGAUCUUUUUGGCUGGAAGUCAUGCCGUUUCUGGGUUUUUUUUUCAAUCAAUUUUUUGUUUUACUAUAUCAAUUUCUGGGUUAAUUUGUAGUCAUAUAUUGAUUUGUAUAUAAUUUUUUAUUUUUAUUUUUUUUAGUUCAGAUUAGUAUGUUUUUCUUUAAAACCACUCAUUUGUAUUACUAUUAUUAAUUAUAAUUAUAAUUAUUCUGUGUAUUUUUUUUGUAA